GAUGAACGCUGGCGGCGUGCUUAACACAUGCAAGUCGAACGGUGAACGAGGGAGCUUGCUCCCUCCGGAUCAGUGGCGAACGGGUGAGUAACACGUGAGCAAUCUGCCCUGGACUCUGGGAUAAGCGUUGGAAACGACGUCUAAUACCGGAUACGAGGCGUGGGGGCAUCCCCAACGCCUGGAAAGAACUUCGGUCCAGGAUGAGCUCGCGGCCUAUCAGCUUGUUGGUGAGGUAACGGCUCACCAAGGCGACGACAGGUAGCCGGCCUGAGAGGGUGACCGGCCACACUGGGACUGAGACACGGCCCAGACUCCUACGGGAGGCAGCAGUGGGGAAUAUUGCACAAUGGGCGCAAGCCUGAUGCAGCAACGCCGCGUGAGGGACGACGGCCUUCGGGUUGUAAACCUCUUUUAGCAGGGAAGAAGCGAAAGUGACGGUACCUGCAGAAAAAGCACCGGCUAACUACAUGCCAGCCGCCGCAGUAA
Molecule: ribosomal RNA, 486 nt
Filed under: uncultured bacterium
Lineage: Bacteria
Description: partial 16S ribosomal RNA
Rfam family: Bacterial small subunit ribosomal RNA
Source: RNAcentral